Molecule: long non-coding RNA, 35723 nt
Filed under: Brassica rapa (field mustard)
Lineage: Eukaryota; Viridiplantae; Streptophyta; Magnoliopsida; Brassicales; Brassicaceae
Description: long non-coding RNA (BRAP_LNC004804)
Source: RNAcentral
GAGGAGGUUCUGUCCAAGUCCUGAUUCGUCCAUACCAGUCCAUUGAAGACAGAGGCAUUGGGUUUUGGCUAGGCUCUCUCCGAUCAACCAGCUGCAAGAACACCGUGAGUUGGUUUGUUUGAGUUCCACUUGGAACUUAGGAUAGAUCGAGUUGCAUAUAGAGUAGUAAUAUCACACUGAUGCAUGAUAGAGUCCUAGGGUUAUUUUUAUUUAUGAAUUGGACUCAGUUUAGCAUGGGCUAAGCUGAGAUAUAAUGGAAUUAAGACUGAGUUAUAACCUGACUAGGACUAGGAUGAAUGAUGCAUUAACCGGUAUAGUGUGAUAAAUUAUGGCGUAGCUGAAUUGUUAAGAUUGAGAUGCAUGUUUUCCUUUAUUUAUUUAUGGGUAGUUUAGUAAUGGAGUAGACCUGCCUUAGAGAUAUUAGGACUAUUGAAUGCUUGGUUUGGUAGUGAUUGUUGUUGUGCAGGGAUGGUAUUGUUCAGGAGAUCUUAGGCCAUAUAGGCCGAUUUCCUUCCAUGUCGAGUUUAGUACUACGAAUCCUAUGCCAUAUAGGCUGGACUACAAGUACAGCUGUUAGUGUCGUAGACUCCUUAGUGUAUUUAAGUUUGUGGUAGGAGUCUUGGUCUUACUAGGAUUAGUGUGUUGUAGCCGACAGUAUGAGCGUAACCCGUCCAUACUAGGCUUGUUUAAGGGAGAUUAGUGUUUCCUCAGCCUCGUACCCAGCGGGUUUAAGGAAAUCCCUUAUUCGUUGAAUCGGGAAGACUCAGAGAGACGGGAUCAUGGCCUAUGGCUGAGUUAUUACACGACGGUGUAAUGUGGCAGUGACCCGAAGGACUGUGGGCUGUCGCGCGGUGACCCGAAGGACUGUGGGCCGCGGUCGGUUGAAAGUUCCUUCUUCUGGCCUUUGUGGUAGGGAGAUAGGAUAUUGCCGAUGUUGAGGAGGAACACGAGAUCACCAGGACCCAUGUUAGAGUAUUGAGUCUAGAGUUAGAAUAGUGUGUCGAGUUAGUUUUAUUGUGUCGUCUUGAGGGUGAGGAACCCUCGAGAUAGUGUUAGCACCGAGAUACGGUGUUGAUCGAGUCUUGAUUGUUAGAUUAGGGAUCCGUUGAGUAGAUGGUCGUUUGGCCAUGUCUAUUAUUAGUAUUAUUAGAUUAAGGUCGAGCAUACCUUAAUCGGUGCGGUUUUGGGGAUUAGCCUUAAAGCUUUAUUUUCUGCGCUUAGGCUAGAUUGAUUGUUAUUUUUGGAUUGUCUGAGCUAGCUACUAGGUUUAGGUAUUUAGGUAGCCAGCUCACUGAGUGACCUUCUGUUACUCACCCAACUCUCGUUGUCCUUUUUGCAGGAGUUUAGGUUGUAGGAGAUUGGACGCGUAGGCCACCGGAAUAGAUUUGCAGUGCAUUUGGCUACGGUUUGAUUUUUAUACGAUUUAUGUUUCCGUUGCGUUUUAUCGGAUUUGGGAUCCCUAAAGUAUUGCAAAUAUUCUUAAAAGUUUUGGAUUUAAAUCUUAAAAAAAUUAACGGGUCCAAUAUGAUAUUGGUUUAGUCCGAACCAACACAACGUUAGGUCUUGGUACGGGUUGAACGGGUUGAAAAGCCUUAGGCCUCGAUCUAACGGAACCGUUAACUCAUGGUACAGGUUGCAAAGCCUUAAGCUUUGAUUUAGCGGGACGUGUUAGUGGAUGAACUAGUCUAGGUUGCGGAAUAAAUCUGUGACUCGGACCGGAUCGUCCCUAGCUCGUCACGUAGCGCUUCCGGACCAUGGUGUUGGGUUGGACGGUCAGUCAUGUUCUUGUUUGAUUGUUGGCUGGCCGGUUGGCCUUACAUCUCCAAUCCUUGGUGUUGGUUGGUCCGUCGGUCAUGUUCUUGUUUGAUUGUUCGCCGGUGGGUCGGCCUAUGCCUAGGACGGUUCGGGGGUGUUACAGUCCUUGUCUUAGGACUUUCUCAAACUGUACCAUUCAAAUAACUGAAAACAGAAAAGUCUUUGGUCUUUAAGACUUGUAAGCCGUGGGUAAUAAAUCUUUGUCUUUGUCAAGACAUGUGUAAGCCGUGGGUAAAAAUCUUUGUAAGCCGUGGGUAAGGAAUAUGUUUUCAGUUAUAGUUUUUUGUCUUAAGACUGAGCCGCAUGCUCUUAUUUGUCAUCCCCUAAAGCCCUUCUUUAUACAUGCACCACCAACCCAUAUUCUCGGUCCAUUAGGAGAUGACAUAAGUUUCUUUUAGAGGCAGCAAGGGACAAUGUUUUCAGUUAUAGUCCUUGUCUUAGGACUUUCUCAAACUGUACCGUUCAAAUAACUGAAAACAGAAAAGUCUUUGGUCUUCAAGACUUGUAAGCCGCGGGUAAUAAAUCUUUGUCUUUGUCUAAGACAUGUGUAAGCCGAGGGUAAUAAAUCUUUUUAAGCCGUGGGUAAGGAAUCUGUUUUCAGUUAUAGUCUUUUGUCUUAAGACUGAGCUGCAUGCUCUUAUUUGCCAUCCCCUAACACCCUUCUCUAUACAUGCACCACAAACCCAUAUUCUUGAUCCAUUAGGGGAUGGCAUAAGUUUCUUUUAGAGGCAGCAAGGGACAUUGUUUUCAGUUAUAGUCCUUGUCUUAGGACUUUCUCAAACUGUACUGUUCAAAUAACUGAAAACAGAAAAGUCUUUGGUCUUUAAGACUUGUAAGCCGUGGGUAAUAAAUUUUUGUCUUUGUCUAAGACAUGUGUAAGCCGAGAGUAAUAAAUCUUUGUAAGCCGUGGGUAAGGAAUCUGUUUCCAGUUAUAGUCUUUUGUCUUAAGACUGAGCCGCAUGCUCUUAUUUGCCAUCCCCUAACGCCCUUCUCUAUACAUGCACCACCAACCCAUAUUCUCGAUCCAUUAGGGGAUGGCAUAAGUUUCUUUUAGAGGCAGCAAGGGACAAUGUUUUCAGUUAUAGUCCUUGUCUUAGGACUUUCUCAAACUGUACCGUUCAAAUAACUGAAAACAGAAAAGUCUUUGGUCUUUAAGACUUUUAAGCCGUGGAUAAUAAAUCUUUGUCUUUGUCUAAGACAUGUGUAAGCCGAGGGUAAUAAAUCUUUUUAAGCCGUGGGUAAGGAAUCUGUUUUCAGUUAUAGUCUUUUGUCUUAAGACUGAGCUGCAUGCUCUUAUUUGCCAUCCCCUAACGCCCUUCUCUAUACAUGCACCACAAACCCAUAUUCUUGAUCCAUUAGGGGAUGGCAUAAGUUUCUUUUAGAGGCAGCAAGGGACAUUGUUUUCAGUUAUAGUCCUUGUCUUAGGACUUUCUCAAACUGUACUGUUCAAAUAACUGAAAACAGAAGAGUCUUUGGUCUUUAAGACUUGUAAGCCGUGGGUAAUAAAUUUUUGUCUUUGUCUAAGACAUGUGUAAGCCGAGAGUAAUAAAUCUUUGUAAGCCGUGGGUAAGGAAUCUGUUUCCAGUUAUAGUCUUUUGUCUUAAGACUGAGCCGCAUGCUCUUAUUUGCCAUCCCCUAACGCCCUUCUCUAUACAUGCACCACCAACCCAUAUUCUCGAUCCAUUAGGGGAUGGCAUAAGUUUCUUUUAGAGGCAGCAAGGGACAAUGUUUUUAGUUAUAGUCCUUGUCUUAGGACUUUCUCAAACUGUACCGUUCAUAUAACUGAAAACAGAAAAGUCUUUGGUUUUUAAGACUUGUAAGCCGUGGGUAAUAAAUCUUUGUCUUUGUCUAAGACAUGUGUAAACCGAGGGUAAUAAAUCUUUGUAAGCCGUGGGUAAGGAAUCUGUUUUCAGUUAUAGUCUUUUGUCUUAAGACUGAGCCGCAUGCUCUUAUUUGCCAUCCCCUAACGUCCUUCUCUAUACAUGCACCACCAACCCAUAUUCUCGAUCCAUUAGGAGAUGGCAUAAGUUUCUUUUAGAGGCAGCAAGGGACAUUGUUUUCAGUUAUAGUCUUAGUCUUAGGACUUUCUCAAACUGUACCGUUCAAAUAACUGAAAACAGAAAAGUCUUUGGUCUUUAAUACUUGUAAGCCGUGGGUAAUAAAUCUUUGUCUUUGUCUAAGACAUGUGUAAGCCGAAGGUAAUAAAUUUUUGUAAGCCGUAGGUAAGGAAUCUGUUUUCAGUUAUAGUCUUUUGUCUUAAGACUGAGCCGCAUGCUCUUAUUUGCCAUCCCCUGACGCCCUUCUCUAUACAUGCACCACCAACCCAUAUUCUCGAUCCAUUAGGGGAUGGCAUAAGUUUCUUUUAGAGGCAGCAAGGGACAAUGUUUUCAGUUAUAGUCCUUGUCUUAGGACUUUUAUCAAACUGUACCGUUCAAAUAACUGAAAACAGAAAAGUCUUUGGUCUUUAAGACUUGUAAGCCGUGGGUAAUAAAUCUUUGUCUUUGUCUAAGACAUGUGUAAGCCGAGGGUAAUAAAUCUUUGUAAGCCGUGGGUAAGGAAUCUGUUUUCAGUUAUAGUCUUUUGUCUUAAGACUGAGCCGCAUGCUCUUAUUUGCCAUCCCCUAACGCCCUUCUCUAUACAUGCACCACCAACCCAUAUUCUCGAUCCAUUAGGGGAUGGCAUAAGUUUCUUUUAGAGGCAGCAAGGGACAUUGUUUUCAGUUAUAUUCUUUGUCUUAGGACUUUCUCAAACUGUACCGUUCAAAUAACUGAAAACAGAAAAGUCUUUGGUCUUUAAGACUUGUAAGCCGUGGGUAAUAAAUCUUUGUCUUUAUCUAAGACAUGUGUAAGCCGAGGGUAAUAAAUCUUUGUAAGCCGUGGGUAAGGAAUCUGUUUUUAGUUAUAGUCUUUUGUCUUAAGACUGAGCCACAUGCUCUUAUUUGCCAUCCCCUAACGCCCUUUUCUAUACAUGCACCACCAACCCAUAUUCUCGAUCCAUUAGGGGAUGGCAUAAGUUUCUUUUAGAGGCAGCAAGGGACAAUGUUUUCAGUUAUAGUCCUUGUCUUAGGACUUUCUCAAACUGUACCGUUCAUAUAACUGAAAACAGAAAAGUCUUUGGUCUUUAAGACUUGUAAGCCGUGGGUAAUAAAUCUUUGUCUUUGUCUAAGACAUGUGUAAGCCGAGGGUAAUAAAUCUUUGUAAGCCGUGGGUAAGUAAUCUGUUUUCAAUUAUAGUCUUUUGUCUUAAGACUGAACCGCAUGCUCUUAUUUGCCAUCCCCUAACGUCCUUCUCUAUACAUGCACCACCAACCCAUAUUCUCGAUCCAUUAGGGGAUGGCAUAAGUUUCUUUUAGAGGCAGCAAGGGACAUUGUUUUCAGUUAUAGUCCUUGUCUUAGGACUUUCUCAAACUGUACCGUUCAAAUAACUGAAAACAGAAAAGUCUUUGGGCUUUAAGACUUGUAAGCCGUGGGUAAUAAAUCUUUGUCUUUGUCAAAGACAUGUGUAAGCCGUGGGUAAAAAUUUUUGUAAGCCGGAGGUUAGGAAUCUGUUUUCAGUUAUAGUCUUUUGUCUUAAGACUGAGCCGCAUGCUCUUAUUUGCCAUCCCCUAAUGCCCUUCUUUCUACAUGCACCACCAACCCAUAUUCUCGAUCCAUUAGGGGAUAUCAUAAGUUUCUUUUAGAGGCAGUAAGGGACAUUGUUUUCAGUUAUAGUCCUUGUCUUAGGACUUUUUCAAACUGUACCAUUCAAAUAACUGAAAACAGAAAAGUCUUUGGUCUUUAAGACUUUUAAGCCGUGGGUAAUAAAUCUUUGUCUUUGUCAAGACAUGUGUAAGCCGUGGGUAAUGUAAGCCGUGGGUAAGGAAUCUGUUUUCAGUUAUAGUCUUUUGUCUUAAGACUGAGCCGCAUGCUCUUAUUUGCCAUCCCCUAAAGCCCUUCUUUAUACAUGCACCACCAACCCAUAUUCUCGGUCCAUUUAACAAUCUUGCUAUAGGAGAUGGCAUAAGUUUCUUUUAGAGGCAGCAAGGGACAAUGUUCCCAAAUAAGAAUCUGACAGAACACUAUAAGAUUAGUGUCUGUCUAUGAUCUUUUUUGGGAUUUGAAAAACAAAAACAAAACCAAAACAAAACCAAAACAAUGUUCCCAAACAAGAAUCUGACAGAACACUAUUAGAUUAGUGUUUGUCUAUGAUCUUUUUUGGGUUUGAAAAACCACAAGAACGUCUAUAGCAAGAACAUUACAAGAACGUCUGUCUAAUCUCUUGGGUUUGAUAAAACCACAAGAAAACAAAAAGCUUUAAAAGUCCUGUUAAAAGAGGAAAAUCGUAGUCAAAUAAAAACAGUUCAAAACGGAAUCCUGAUUUCAAAAAUCUCAAAACAAAACCGGGAUAAAAGCGCUUGAAAAUAAACGGGAAAGUCUAAGGACAUACAGAGAAGAGAAAAGACAAUCAAAAAGCUGAGUUUGUGCCAAAGGUGUGCAGAGAGAAACAGGACGACAUAGAUGUUUUUGAUUUACCUCAGUUGAGCUAUGGGAGAGAACCACCGUAAGAGCACUCCUAAAUGUACAACGGCCGGUAUCAACUUGAAUAGAAAUGGUGUCGUUACCUGCAACAUAUUCACUUUAAUGUACAUGUCAAAAUAUUCGUUCUAUAACUGAAAUGGUGUGGAUGUGAACCAUACCAGGCUUAGAGCAGUUGUUCCCAGAAGCAGGAGGUACAGUUUGCUCUGCGAAUAAACACAAAACCCUUCACUGUUAUCACUCCACCAAAAGCAAAAUUAUGAGCAACCUAUUAUGGGUACCACACAGUCGGGAAGAUAUAACCGUAGUUGCACAACACAGUUUCAUUUGAUUGCUUACCUCAAUAAGGUGAAGAUUAGAUGCUCGACUUAGCAGAACAAAAGCAAAUUCCCCAAUCUGCGCAAGCGACAUUCCAACCUAUAGAGAAGAAAACUGUAAGGGCUCUCACUACGAGUAAGGUUUGGAGCAAUGUGAAAGCAAAAAGGAAGGGUUCACUUCUUACAAGUACUGCAGUUUUGUUAUUGUAUCCAAAGACCUUAACAACGAUUGCAACGACCACGGUCUUUAUCACUAUCACCAGUAACACAGCUGCUACCAGAAUAUCAACAUGGUUCCACAAGAAGUGCAUAUGUAUCAACAUUCCAAUACUAGCAAGGAACAGCGCUGCAAAAAAAUUGCGGAUUGGUUCUACCUGAAAGGGAAGCACAGGAAUGAUAAGAAGAGCUCUAUGUGGCAAAAAAGAGAAAUGCAUUUCAUAAAGUCACCAACAGAUAUAUAGCACAAAAGACACUUGUGGCAUAAGAAUGUUCAAAUAAAAUGCGAAAAGAUCCACAAGUCCGAAAGAGUCAAAAUUGACUUCUUACUUGUUCAAGAGUAUGCUGGGCGAGAUCCGUUGAUGAGAUCAUCACUCCUGCCGCAAAGGAACCCAGCUCAAGACUUAGACCGAGCUUGUCACUACACUGAAGAAACCAAAACAAUACUGAGUUUAUGAACUGAAAAUUUGAGAUAGCACAUGUGCAAAAAGCCAAUAGAUAAGAAGAACAAAGGAUCAGACUGACCCAAGCAACAAGCAAACAAAAUGCUACAGCGGCCAACUGGUAGAGCUCGUUAGUCUGUCAAAGAUUGACGAACGCUUAAGUUGAUAAACAUUUUAAAGACCAAAAACGGAAGCAAGUAAAAAUAUGUGUAUACCUGAGAAGAAAGGCUUGUCAUAAGUUUUAGAAACCAAGGUACCCAGGUACGUGACAGUACAAACAAAGCAGCCAAAAACGCAAUCAAAAUAGCCAACCUUGAAAGAAAUUACCGCACGGUCAAAAGAAAUGAAAUAUCAAAAACUUGGUUUCACUGAACAACAGUAUAACAAGUGAAAAAGGAAGCAGGAUAUUGUCGACAUUUUCACAGAACUUCCAGUAAAAUAGAAAACAUACGAUUUAGCCAUGGACAACAUUCCUUGAAGGACACCAGAUGUGCCACCAAGAACCGGAAGGAGAGCAAAAAGCAAACCCACAGCACAAUCCUAGAGAUUCAUGAAGCCAUAUAUUAAAAAUCUAAUGAAAGCAACUGUAGGAUACAACAUACUAAUAGCUGAAAUCCAGUAGCAUACAAAAGAGUAAGCGGAAACAGUAGCCUGUACAAAUCAUAUUACUAUGCUAUUGUUUGGAGAGUGACUGAGAUACCUGAAGGAUAAGUGUUCCAACGGUUAUCUGGCCAUGUAGAGCACUUAUGCUCUUUUUUCCAUUAAAAAUUUCAACACCUGAUAUAAGAAUCAUGGCAAGGUAAAAAUAACAUAUGAGGAUCACCCCUAAAGAGAAACUUAGGGAAACAUAACUGGUACAACAAAAGAAAGAAUUUAAUACAGUGAGAGCACAUGGAGUAAAUUAUAACAGUUUAGAAUACAAAAGUGAUCUUAGAAUAUACCACCGCUGUUGACGACAUCGAAAGAAAAGCACCUACGAAUAUUCCUUCUGUUAGUUUACCACCGCAUAACUGCAAUGCAAUGAAGAAGCAGCCAAGUCAACCCAAUGCAUUCCUUUUCAUGAUUUAUACACAAUAAGCCUAAUAACUCAUUCUUACUCAAUUGCUAUUACUAUUUACAAACUAGAACAUACCGAGGCUGUUAUCCCACUCAAGCACAUGAACAAAAAUAUUUGAAGAAGACCUCCUGGAAUAGCUACUGCACGAACUACACGAAGCUGCGACCACAAAGUACAAUAAAUCAAUGACUAUCUCAAAAGUUUCAAAAGAACAAAGAAACCAGAAAAGUGUAAGAGGGUGGAAACAUGCAAACCUUUGCUGCAGAAAAUUCUAAUCCUAAAGCAAAAAGAAGAAAGAUUACACCAAACUGAGCUACUGUUUCAACCUGUGCUACACAAAAGAAUAUAUAUAUCAAGUCUUGUCGACCAUUAACAUAGCCAGUCAAUCUCUUAAUCAUGAAAACUUCCGUCGAAAUGCAAUAUGAAGACAAAAAGGAGGAACUUUGAAGAGCUAAAGCUGAUGUAAGCUACCUGCACCAUUUCACUAACAAAGCUUAACCCACCCGGUCCAAUGAUAGAUCCAGCCAACAGAUACCCAGUAAUGACCUGCCAAGUAAGUAGUACAGAAAUUAAAUAUGGCCGUCACUGUUCGAUGAUUCAAAGGCCAACAAAAUCAAUUCUAAGCUCUUGGAAAGGUGAAUACUCAAAUGGUAACGGAAUAAUGUUGAAAGUUACAAGCUCUGCAAAGGAAGCGUGUACUCACCGGUUGACCAGCACAAGCAAAUGCAAUUCCACCACAAGUAGCAGAAACAAUGACGACGACCAAAUCUGAUAUCAGCCUACAAAUAUAUCCAGUUAAGAGAGGCGUCCCAAACAAAAAACGGUUAGGUAGAUUCUUACAAAUGAUAAAUGAUCAAAGACCUUUCCUUACGAAUGCUAUAUUUACCUUAAAUCUAGCUGCAGUACAGGGUACUUGGACUUUGGAUUGGACAUGAUAAAAACGUUGUCCUGGAUUGGAAUUGAAAAUUCACAAUUCAGGAAUGUUGUCACAAACGGGUAGAUAACAGGUGUACAUUCUCUCUUAACCAAUAUAUAGUACAAUUCUUCAAAGACUAUGAAAGCUUACCUUCCUAUCUAUCAGUCUUGGAGUAUCUUCUACGCCAUUCUCGUUAUCCAAAUUAAAGAAUGAUCUAGCAUAAAAGGCACUGAUUAUAUUACCGCCUCUGAAACAAAGCUAGAUAGCAGCCACAACUUUCACAAAUCGAGUCCAAAAAGGGUAAAGCAAGCAUGAUUAUAAAGAGACUCACUUCUCCUCCUUGGUCUUGGUCUCAUUUUUCUUGGGCUUCACUCGAGCAACAGUUUCCAGAACAGCCUAAAGAGCAGAACAAAUGGUUUAAUAAAAAGAAGGAAAAAAAAAACAAGAAAGACUGAGUAGUGUACCGUCUAAAAGCAAUAAGGCCACAAAUGAAGUGGCGAAAACAAAGAUUACAAUUAACCAACCUGCUGAUCAGCAACGCUAUUAUUAAAGCUUCCUGGAUCAGGAACUGCAAAAGCAAAACAAGACAAAAGCAAUUCACAAACCACUUAUUCAAAGAGUUCAAAUAACAUCUUGUAUAUCCUCUAGGACGAGACCAGACCAAGUGAUAUAAUCCAAGAGUUUUAAGCACUAUGCCAUUGGUCAAUAACUUUUAUCAUCUCAAUAUGCAAUUCAUUAAAUUCUAUAAGCCAUGAGUAAUCUAAAAACUCCAAUGCAGAUGUGAGCAUUAGCUAAAAUCAAUGAUAAAUCCCUAAGGAGUAGAAUCAAUUUUCACCAAAUCUAAAACUGAAAACAAAACCCUAGUGUAGCAAACGAACCAUCGUUCUGGUCAUUCUCCGGAAACUCCUUCUCAAGUGCCCUAUCGAUCAUAUCGGCGAAACUGUCCUCCUUAGGUUUCGCGUUCGUCGCAUUGGACUCGGCGGCGUUUCCGUUGAUCUCGCGUGUGGCAACUGACUCAGUCCCGAUAUCGGACUCGGCGGAGAAGGCAAGAUGGAAACUACAGAUCAGGAGAAACGCCAGAAACCUCAUCGUUUCCACGGAGAUGAAUUCGCCGAUUUUACACCGCCGCAUCUCAGUGACGGUGGUGGCGCGGCGGAGCGAUUAAGAAAUAGAGAGAGAGAGAGAGAGUGAUUGUGAAAGAUAGAUUCUGCUUCCUUCUUCUUCUUCUCUCUCUUUCUGGUGGUUAGAGAGCGAGAAAGAAAACAGAUCGAAGGAAAAUUAAUUAAUACUAUUAAAGUAAAAAGGGUAACAUUUGCUGAAUAUGCACAUUAAAUACGUGUAAAUUAUAUUCAACUGUUAUCGUUUUUUUUUUUUUUUUGCUUGUACUAAAUAGCUUAAUUUUGGUGAAGAAACCAGCAAAUUUUCAUUUUAUUUUAAUAAAUAAAUGAUAUCUCAUUCAACUUUAAUGUUACUGAAUGAUACAUGGAGAUAAUAAAUAAUACUCCAAGUAAAAAUUUUUUAGAUUUUUUUCUUGUUCCACAAAAAUAGAUUUUCUAUAUUGUUAAGGUAUUUUUUUAUACUUUUAAAAAACAUUAAUUGAGAAUAUUUGAAUUGAUAAAAUUUCAUUGGUGGAAAGUUGUUGAAAAGUGUAUAAUAAAGUAAAAAAAAUUAAAUUAUAAAUGUUUAUUAAAUUAUUAAUAAGCGUGCAUACUAUAAAAAUUUUAUCAAUUCAAAUAUUCUUUUGAUCUUACUUUCGGGAACAAAGAGAGUAUUCUUUUGAUGGUACUACGGAUGCUACAACUUUAGGAUGGUGCUGUUGAUCAUCUGGACUAAAAAGGAUGACAAAGAGGAAUCCCAAGCCCUUAAUCUUGAACUGUACAUAGAGUGAUAGAUUACUAACUUAGAUUAUAGAAUGUUUUAGUCAUUUAUUUUGUUAUAGUAUAUAUAUAGUUGAGUUGGUAUACAAUGUUUGCUAGCUGGGCCGGGAAAUGUCCAGUGUUUAUCAAUUGGCAUACAGUUGCAUAUGAGCUGAAAAGCUUUGGAAGUCCAGUUCCUCGGAUUCGAGUUGAUCAAAACAAAAAGUAUAUAUAUGAAGCUGGUUUUUAUUAUUCUUGAUGAAUAAUUUACACAUGUAGUCACGAUAAAUGCAUGGUUUCGUGUACAACUCUGUGAUGAUAGUACUCUACGUAACACUUGGAUCAACUGUAUACAAUUCUACAUGCAAUACGAUAAGAUUUUCAGUAAACUUUGCGUUUACAUACUUAACCCUUAUUACAACCUUCAAAAGAAUAUUGUGAAUAUUAAACUCUAAACCUAAUUAAUACUCAAACAUUUGUCCAAGGAAUUUUCACAAGAUAAAACAAGUUAUAUCAUAAAUAAUUUGUACUUGGCUAUACAAAAAUGAUACGUCUUUAAAAAAUGGGUAUUGUCCCACUAAACUCAAUGUGCCGUCACGGUUGAAUCCGCUUGACCACCAAAAUAGAUUUGUCGGUGUGAUUUUUAUAAAUCCCUUAUAUAUUAACCGAGAAACAAUACAACAUUGUUUUGUAGACACGUGUCACCAUAAAAAUGAAAUUCAAAAUUCUUAGAGAAAUAGGUUGGUCCAUCUUACUUACAUUAUACUAACUAUUAAAUUGAUAAAUAGCGUACAGAAGAAUAUUAUCGCACUUUCCUUAAAAAAAGCUACAAAAUUUCCUAAUAUGAUUAACAUAUAUAAAAGAAUUAAUGAUUAUGAAUAAUAAAUAUUUGAUAAGAAUUUUAGUAUCUUAGCUCUUUUUUAUUUAAUUUGACAUUAUUAAAAGAUAUUAAGCAACCACAUUAACUAUAUAAUAAAAACAUGAUUUUUUUAUAUGUUAUAUUUUUAAUGGAUAAUUCUCCUAAACAGACCAUUUUCAAGUUUUGAUCACAAAAAUAGACCAUAAGGAAAAAAAUGACCAAAAUGUUUCAUUUAAUAGGUAAAAGAACCAUAAUACCCUAGAUAUAUAUAUAUAUAUAUAUAUAUAUAAAAUUAUAGUUUUAGAUUAUAUUUUUUAAAUUCGAACUUUUUUAUAAUAAUUUUUUUAUAAUUUUUUUCGAAAUUUUUUUUAAUAAAAUUUUAAAUCUCAAUCUCAAAUCUCCAUCUCUCAACUCUAAACCCUACGGUUUUGAUUAGUUAAUCCUAGGGGUAUAACUGUAGAUCUCUUUAAUGAAACAUUUUGGUUAUUUUGAUCCUUAGGAUCUGUAUUUGUGACAUAAACCUUUUUAGUGCUAUUCUAGGGUAUUUCCCAUUUUAAUUUUUAAAACGACUAUAAAUUACUAAAAUAGUUAAAUGUCUCACACACUAAAAUUUUGUCAUCAAUGGUUUAAUUUUUUUGGUGAUAAAAAAAUACAAAUGAUCAUAAAUUGUAUGAAUAUGACUAGACAUUCAUAUUAUAUUUUAAUAUUUUUUUAAAUUAAAUUAUAUAGCAUAGAAAAAUACUCAAGUAUGAUAAUUUCUAAAUUUGUAUUAAAAAUAUUAAAAUCUUAUUAUUUUAAUUUUAAAAUUUGCAUUCAAAAAAUCGCACAUUAGAAAUUUUGUGUUUAUCGUAUGAAUAUGAUUCUAAAUAAUAAAUAUUUAUAUUAAAAUAUACUAUAUAUAUAUCCAUGUCAUUAAAAUUUAGUUAUAUACUAUAUAAAACAAAUAAAAUAAUGUUUUGAUUUAUUUACCAAAAAAAGUAUCAUAAAUUAGAUGUAUUGUUUCGAUUUAUAUGCUCACUCUGAUUUAAUUAUAUACAUAAUAAAUAAAUGAAUAUAAAUAAAUAAUAAUAUAUAAAAUUUAUUUUUAUAUAUAACAUAAUUGUGCGGGUCUUAAGUCAUAUGAUAAUCUAGAAUACUUAUACACUAAUCAGCAUCCCAACCAUUAUAUAAGAAGUUGUAAAAUAUGAAAUACAUAUUUAUAAAAUAUCUAAUUCAAAACCAAGAGCGCCCAUAGAAGUGAGAUAGAUUUUUAGCUUAAUCCCGCUUAGACUCACAUGGACUUUUCCAUUGUCGGAUUGAGCCAUCAACCAAACAUAUUUUAGCUGAAUUAAUUUAUUCUAUUUCUCGAGACUUAUUAAUUAAACAAUUAGAUAAAAGAAAUGUUAUUCCUCAAAUCUGUUUUCAAGUAGGUGAGUAGAUCGAAACCCAGAACAACCUCUUUUUUUUUGCUUAAAACCCCAAGAACUACUUAUAGACCUAACUUUAACAACAACAAUACAAAAGAAAUGUACUAAGCACACAAUACAAAACGAAGCAUGAUGGUCUAACUAACUCCAGCGAAUAUAACUUAUGAGCGAGUGGUAAGGAAAAACACUUUCCUUGUAAAGAAGAAAGAAAAUUCACAUUAAUUAGGUUAGAAGAAAUCAUAAAAGAAAAUUCAAAACUUUUGAUCACAUGGUUGUGUGGACUAAACUUGGACUUUUCUUUAAUCAUAUAGUUCAUUUUUCAUUUUCAAGGAAGAUCGAUACUUUUACUUAUGUUCUUUUUAUUUAAUUGUAAUGACACUCCCAGAGUUAAAAACCAGUAUUGAAAGAAGCAAAUGGUUUUGCCUCUCCAAGUAGGCAACUAUGCCUCCCAAAGAAAAAGAGACAUCAUGCUCACUCCAUGCCUAUAAAUACUCCUCAAAUCAAUAACUUAUCCAUUCAAAUUGUGUCUGAGAACAAAAAGGCAAAAAAAAAAAAAGAAGAAGAUGGGUUUAAUCAAAGAGAAAGAGAUGGAGAUUCCAGUCAUUGAUUUUAGUGAACUGGAUGGAGAAAACAGAACCAAGACUAUGUCUCUUCUUGAUCAUGCAUGUGAUAAGUGGGGCUUCUUCAUGGUAUGUACAAAUCUUUAUCCACAAAUCAAGUUCUUAAGUAUGCAUAUGUAAACGUUCCUAGAUCCAGUUCUAGUGUAGACCCUUAUUAAAUGCGGGCUGAUGAAUUUUCAGGUUGAUAAUCAUGGAAUUGAUAAAGAAUUGAUGGAUAAAGUAAAACAGCUGAUUAACUCUCAUUAUGAGGAGCAUUUGAAAGAGAAGUUUUACCAGUCAGAGAUGGUCAAGGCUUUGAGUGAAGGCAAAACGUCAGAUGCUGAUUGGGAAAGCACUUUCUUCGUUUGGCAUAAGCCGACUUCAAACAUAUCCAAAGUCUCCAACAUUUCAGAUGAACUCAUGUAAGUAACUAAAAAAAUUAUAUAUCCAAAUUUUUACCAAUUUCUUUAUUUGGACAAAGUUUUUACCAUUUAUAUGUCUUGCCUAUUAUAAUUAACAAUGUGUGGGGAUGAAACUUAUAUUGCAGCAAGACAAUGGAUGAAUAUGUUUCUCAACUGCACAAGUUUGCAGAAAGGCUCUCUAAACUCAUGUGUGAAAAUCUUGGUCUCCCUCGAGAACACAUAGUGAAUGCGUUCUCCGGUAUAGAAGGUCCAGUUUUUGGGACAAAAGUGGCUAAAUACCCAGAAUGCCCUCAUCCGGAGCUCAUUAGAGGGCUGAGAGAACAUACUGAUGCUGGAGGGAUCAUAUUGCUCUUGCAGGAUGAUCAAGUGCCUGGUCUUGAGUUCUUGAAAGAUGGGAAGUGGGUUCCUAUCCCACCAUCGAAGAACAAUACCAUUUUUGUCAAUACCGGUGAUCAAGUCGAGAUAUUGAGUAAUGGGAAGUACAAGAGUGUUGUACACCGUGUGAUGACGAUGAAGCAAGGAAGUAGACUGUCGAUAGCUACAUUUUACAAUCCAGCUGGGGAUGCCAUAAUAUCUCCAGCUCAAGAGAUGUUGUACCCAAGUGGUUACCGAUUCCAAGACUACCUUAAGCUUUAUUCAACCACUAAGUUUGGAGACAAAGGCUCUAGAUUUAAUACCAUGAAGAAAAUGGAGAAUGGGGAUUCCGUCUAGGAUGCAUCGCCUGAACGUAACGCUGCUUUUGUAUUUCACAUGAAACUCUAUUUCUAUUAAAACUUUGUCUUCUUGUUGUGUUUCUUUCAUAAAGGAAUAACAAUUAUGCCAGGAUCAUGCUGAUUCAACUAUUUUGCUUUGUUAAGAAAAAAUAACUCUUUUUACUCAAGUGAUUUUGUACUAGGCAAGUCGUUGAUGGCAACUUUAAAAACAUUAGUUUGAACUUUGAAGGUCUUUUAUAUUGUACUUUUAUUUUUAAGGAUGUCCUUAAGAUAUUAGUAUGUUUUGGCUAAAAAGUUAUAUAUCGUUUAAUUCUGUUUAUCUUUUAAAACAACAAAAACACAAAAGAUAUUUCAUGUUAAGCGAUAAUUCAAUAUGAUUAAGAGAAUGAUAACCUAGUUAGUAAUUAGUAAUUACCAACAUCCGUAUGGUCAUAAAAGAGAACCCAAGAUAAUGAAAAAAAAAUGUCAAACCAUAAAACUUGGACAAUGGUGAAACAAAAACAGUUUUUAUUUAAGUUUUCGUAGGAUCAAACUCCCACGGCUGCUUCUUGUAAUAGCAGACCACAAACUAAACCAAGUGGUCUUAUUUGUAGCAACUUCUUUUUCUUCACCUUUUAACUUGGCAUGUAACUGAGCAAAUUCCAGCAAAUUUUUUUUUUUUUUUUUUGCUUGUACUAAAUAGCUUAAUUUUGGUGAAGAAACCAGCAAAUUUUCAUUUUAUUUUAAUAAAUAAAUGAUAUCUCAUUCAACUUUAAUGUUACUGAAUGAUACAUGGAGAUAAUAAAUAAUACUCCAAGUAAAGAUUUUUUUAGAUUUUUUUCUUGUUCCACAAAGAUAGAUUUUCUAUAUUGUUAAGGUAUUUUUUUAUACUUUUGAAAAACAUUAAUUGAGAAUAUUUGAAUUAAUUAAAUUUCAUUGGUGGAAAGUUAUUGAAAAGUGUAUAAUAAAGUAAAAGAUAAAUUAAAUUAUAAAUAUUUAUUAAAUUAUUAAUAAGCGUCCAUACUCUAAAAAAUCUUACUUUUGCGAACAGAGAGAGUAUUCUUUUGAUGGUACUACGGAUGCUACAACUUUAAGAUGGUGCUGUUGAUCAUCUGGACUAAAUAGGUUGACAAAGAGGAAUCCCAAGCCCUUAAUCUUGAACUGUACAUAGAGUGGUAGAUUACUAACUUAGGCUUCGAAUGUUACGAACUGCCUCGCUCCGCAGUUAACAGUAACAAAAAUCUCUACAUAUACUAUAUAUCUAUACGUUUUUAUAACUGUUAAAACCGCACCGCAAUUAAUGUAUGUAGCGGCUAGAGGCUUGUUCAAAAUGAAUCCUCCAAUGAUUAUAGUGCCUAAAUCCAUUGAGGAAGGCAUCGAGACUUUGCUCGAGGUUCCUAGAGCUAAGGCACAAUCCUGUUAGCUUGGACAUAGGAGGACAACCUCUAGCAUCCAACUACCCAUUGCCGCCCAAGGUUUGUGGUUUUUUUUUGUGUGUGUUGUUUGGUGGCAUAGUGAUACAGUAGCUUCAUCAGGUGUCAGUAGAACCAUGAGGAGAAUUCUUUCAGUGGAGUUGGCUUUUGAACCAAAGAUUGUAUAUGUGAGAAAAACAUCUAAAGUUAAAAUGUGUCAAAGGUUACGACAUCCUCAUUCAAAUAGCUAAUGAUAACAUGGGUUUGUCAGUGUUGGUUCUUCUCGGUAGAUAUAUGCUUAAGUUCCGUUUCUUAGGUCAGCAAAAUGGUGCAACGACAUCUGACAUGAGGGAAUAAGUAGGUGGGGGAUCUCACGAUAUCUAAAAAUCAUUAUUUUGCAUUUUUUUCUGAGAGCAUUCUGAUUAGCUACACCGUGUGUUAUCCUUAGGCUAUGCUCUAUUAUUGUCUUGGUGCGUCACAUUCUCAACUUGUAAACUAGAGUGUUCAUAUUUUUGUUCUAGGGUGGAUUGUCAAUGUAUGUAGCGGCUAAAAUUUUCUAAUCUUUUAUAUAGUUUCCUUGUAAAAGGUAUCUUAUUGCUUGGUCAAAGACUGCUGGCAUUAUGAUACCAGUUAGAUUCAUCAGGUGUCAGCAGAAAUAUGAGGAGCAUCCUUUCAUUAGAGUUGGCUUUUGAACCAAAUAUUGUUUAUAUGAGAAAAAUCAUAUAUUACCAAGGGGGUAUAGGAGUCCAGCAUCCAAAAGCUAGAUUGUGUUAGGUUAUAGUGUCCUCAUUCAAAAUUGUGUUGGUUCUUAUCGGUAAUCAUAUGCUUAAGUUUCGGUUUUCAGGUCAGCGAAUAAUGCAACAUCAUCUGACAUUAAGGAGUAAGAAGGUGGGCUCGUAAGAUAUCUAAAAAAGGUUUCUCUUAACAACCUCAGUAUUCUCUGAAGAUUGUGGGCUUAAUCCACUUCAAGAUUCUGCAAACGAGACUGCUUCUUCCAUGAGGCAAGUGUCUAUUGUUUUCUCUGAUAUGUCGUCACUCUUUUGUCAUCAUUGAGGUUUAGGCCCUUGACAGAGGCAAAGAGGCAAGAGAAGGAGGACGUUAAUUAAACAAUUAGAUAAAAGAAAUGUUAUUCCUCAAAUCUGUUUUCAAGUAGGUGAGUAGAUCGAAACCCAGAACAACCUCUUUUUUUUUGCUUAAAACCCCAAGAACUACUUAUAGACCUAACUUUAACAACAACAAUACAAAAGAAAUGUACUAAGCACACAAUACAAAACGAAGCAUGAUGGUCUAACUAACUCCAGCGAAUAUAAGCGAGUGGUAAGGAAAAACACUUUCCUUGUAAAGAAGAAAGAAAAUUCACAUUAAUUAGGUUAGAAGAAAUCAUAAAAGAAAAUUCAAAACUUUUGAUCUCAUGGUUGUGUGGACUAAACUUGGACUUUUCUUUAAUCAUAUAGUUCAUUUUUCAUUUUCAAGGAAGAUCGAUACUUUUACUUAUGUUCUUUUUAUUUAAUUGUAAUGACACUCCCAGAGUUAAAACCAGUAUUGAAAGAAGCAAAUGGUUUUGCCUCUCCAAGUAGGCAACUAUGCCUCCCAAAGAAAAAGAGACAUCAUGCUCACUCCAUGCCUAUAAAUACUCCUCAAAUCAAUAACUUAUCCAUUCAAAUUGUGUCUGAGAACAAAAAGGCAAAAAAAAAAAAGAGAAGAAGAUGGGUUUAAUCAAAGAGAAAGAGAUGGAGAUUCCAGUCAUUGAUUUUAGUGAACUGGAUGGAGAAAACAGAACCAAGACUAUGUCUCUUCUUGAUCAUGCAUGUGAUAAGUGGGGCUUCUUCAUGGUAUGUACAAAUCUUUAUCCACAAAUCAAGUUCUUAAGUAUGCAUAUGUAAACGUUCCUAGAUCCAGUUCUAGUGUAGACCCUUAUUAAAUGCGGGCUGAUGAAUUUUCAGGUUGAUAAUCAUGGAAUUGAUAAAGAAUUGAUGGAUAAAGUAAAACAGCUGAUUAACUCUCAUUAUGAGGAGCAUUUGAAAGAGAAGUUUUACCAGUCAGAGAUGGUCAAGGCUUUGAGUGAAGGCAAAACGUCAGAUGCUGAUUGGGAAAGCACUUUCUUCGUUUGGCAUAAGCCGACUUCAAACAUAUCCAAAGUCUCCAACAUUUCAGAUGAACUCAUGUAAGUAACUAAAAAAAUUAUAUAUCCAAAUUUUUACCAAUUUCUUUAUUUGGACAAAGUUUUUACCAUUUAUAUGUCUUGCCUAUUAUAAUUAACAAUGUGUGGGGAUGAAACUUAUAUUGCAGCAAGACAAUGGAUGAAUAUGUUUCUCAACUGCACAAGUUUGCAGAAAGGCUCUCUAAACUCAUGUGUGAAAAUCUUGGUCUCCCUCGAGAACACAUAGUGAAUGCGUUCUCCGGUAUAGAAGGUCCAGUUUUUGGGACAAAAGUGGCUAAAUACCCAGAAUGCCCUCAUCCGGAGCUCAUUAGAGGGCUGAGAGAACAUACUGAUGCUGGAGGGAUCAUAUUGCUCUUGCAGGAUGAUCAAGUGCCUGGUCUUGAGUUCUUGAAAGAUGGGAAGUGGGUUCCUAUCCCACCAUCGAAGAACAAUACCAUUUUUGUCAAUACCGGUGAUCAAGUCGAGAUAUUGAGUAAUGGGAAGUACAAGAGUGUUGUACACCGUGUGAUGACGAUGAAGCAAGGAAGUAGACUGUCGAUAGCUACAUUUUACAAUCCAGCUGGGGAUGCCAUAAUAUCUCCAGCUCAAGAGAUGUUGUACCCAAGUGGUUACCGAUUCCAAGACUACCUUAAGCUUUAUUCAACCACUAAGUUUGGAGACAAAGGCUCUAGAUUUAAUACCAUGAAGAAAAUGGAGAAUGGGGAUUCCGUCUAGGAUGCAUCGCCUGAACGUAACGCUGCUUUUGUAUUUCACAUGAAACUCUAUUUCUAUUAAAACUUUGUCUUCUUGUUGUGUUUCUUUCAUAAAGGAAUAACAAUUAUGCCAGGAUCAUGCUGAUUCAACUAUUUUGCUUUGUUAAGAAAAAAUAACUCUUUUUACUCAAGUGAUUUUGUACUAGGCAAGUCGUUGAUGGCAACUUUAAAAACAUUAGUUUGAACUUUGAAGGUCUUUUAUAUUGUACUUUUAUUUUUAAGGAUGUCCUUAAGAUAUUAGUAUGUUUUGGCUAAAAAGUUAUAUAUCGUUUAAUUCUGUUUAUCUUUUAAAACAACAAAAACACAAAAGAUAUUUCAUGUUAAGCGAUAAUUCAAUAUGAUUAAGAGAAUGAUAACCUAGUUAGUAAUUAGUAAUUACCAACAUCCGUAUGGUCAUAAAAGAGAACCCAAGAUAAUGAAAAAAAAAUGUCAAACCAUAAAACUUGGACAAUGGUGAAACAAAAACAGUCUUUUUAUUUAAGUUUUCGUAGGAUCAAACUCCCACGGCUGCUUCUUGUAAUAGCAGACCACAAACUAAACCAAGUGGUCUUAUUUGUAGCAACUUCUUUUUCUUCACCUUUUAACUUGGCAUGUAACUGAGCAAAUUCCAGCAAAUUUUUUUUUUUUUUUUGCUUGUACUAAAUAGCUUAAUUUUGGUGAAGAAACCAGCAAAUUUUCAUUUUAUUUUAAUAAAUAAAUGAUAUCUCAUUCAACUUUAAUGUUACUGAAUGAUACAUGGAGAUAAUAAAUAAUACUCCAAGUAAAGAUUUUUUUAGAUUUUUUUCUUGUUCCACAAAGAUAGAUUUUCUAUAUUGUUAAGGUAUUUUUUUAUACUUUUGAAAAACAUUAAUUGAGAAUAUUUGAAUUAAUUAAAUUUCAUUGGUGGAAAGUUAUUGAAAAGUGUAUAAUAAAGUAAAAGAUAAAUUAAAUUAUAAAUAUUUAUUAAAUUAUUAAUAAGCGUCCAUACUCUAAAAAAUCUUACUUUUGCGAACAGAGAGAGUAUUCUUUUGAUGGUACUACGGAUGCUACAACUUUAAGAUAGUGCUGUUGAUCAUCUGGACUAAAUAGGUUGACAAAGAGGAAUCCCAAGCCCUUAAUCUUGAACUGUACAUAGAGUGGUAGAUUACUAACUUAGGCUUCGAAUGUUACGAACUGCCUCGCCCCGCAGUUAACAGUAACAAAAAUCUCUACAUAUACUAUAUAUCUAUACGUUUUUAUAACUGUUAAAACCGCACCGCAAUUAAUGUAUGUAGCGGCUAGAGGCUUGUUCAAAAUGAAUCCUCCAAUGAUUAUAGUGCCUAAAUCCAUUGAGGAAGGCAUCGAGACUUUGCUCGAGGUUCCUAGAGCUAAGGCACAAUCCUGUUAGCUUGGACAUAGGAGGACAACCUCUAGCAUCCAACUACCCAUUGCCGCCCAAGGUUUGUGGUUUUUUUUUGUGUGUGUUGUUUGGUGGCAUAGUGAUACAGUAGCUUCAUCAGGUGUCAGUAGAACCAUGAGGAGAAUUCUUUCAGUGGAGUUGGCUUUUGAACCAAAGAUUGUAUAUGUGAGAAAAACAUCUAAAGUUAAAAUGUGUCAAAGGUUACGACAUCCUCAUUCAAAUAGCUAAUGAUAACAUUGGUUUGUCAGUGUUGGUUCUUCUCGGUAGAUAUAUGCUUAAGUUCCGUUUCUUAGGUCAGCAAAAUGGUGCAACGACAUCUGACAUGAGGGAAUAAGUAGGUGGGGGAUCUCACGAUAUCUAAAAAUCAUUAUUUUGCAUUUUUUUCUGAGAGCAUUCUGAUUAGCUACACCGUGUGUUAUCCUUAGGCUAUGCUCUAUUAUUGUCUUGGUGCGUCACAUUCUCAACUUGUAAACUAGAGUGUUCAUAUUUUUGUUCUAGGGUGGAUUGUCAAUGUAUGUAGCGGCUAAAAUUUUCUAAUCUUUUAUAUAGUUUCCUUGUAAAAGGUAUCUUAUUGCUUGGUCAAAGACUGCUGGCAUUAUGAUACCAGUUAGAUUCAUCAGGUGUCAGCAGAAAUAUGAGGAGCAUCCUUUCAUUAGAGUUGGCUUUUGAACCAAAUAUUGUUUAUAUGAGAAAAAUCAUAUAUUACCAAGGGGUAUAGGAGUCCAGCAUCCAAAAGCUAGAUUGUGUUAGGUUAUAGUGUCCUCAUUCAAAAUUGUGUUGGUUCUUAUCGGUAAUCAUAUGCUUAAGUUUCGGUUUUCAGGUCAGCGAAUAAUGCAACAUCAUCUGACAUUAAGGAGUAAGAAGGUGGGCUCGUAAGAUAUCUAAAAAAGGUUUCUCUUAACAACCUCAGUAUUCUCUGAAGAUUGUGGGCUUAAUCCACUUCAAGAUUCUGCAAACGAGACUGCUUCUUCCAUGAGGCAAGUGUCUAUUGUUUUCUCUGAUAUGUCGUCACUCUUUUGUCAUCAUUGAGGUUUAGGCCCUUGACAGAGGCAAAGAGGCAAGAGAAGGAGGACGUUAAGAUCUUCUUAAGUCGUUGGUCUUAUUUUCCAUCCACUAAUGGCUUUUUUAUGGGUUGUUGGUCGUUAAUUCCAAUCAAACAAGUCUUAAACCUCCUACAUUUUCUUUGUCUCUGUCCAGACAUUAGUAACCGUGGGUAAUGAAUCUGUUUUCAGUUAUAGUCCUUGUCUUAAGACUUUCUCAAACCAUAACCAUUCAAAUAACUGAAAACAAAUUCUCUCAAGCCGUGGAUACUAAAUCUUUGUAAGCCGUGGGUAAGGAAUCUGUUUUCAGUUAUAGUCCCUGUCUUAAGACUUUCUCAAACUGUACCAUUCAAAUAACUAAAAACAGAAAAGUCUUGUCUUUAAGACUUGUAAGCCGUGGGUAAUAAAUCUUUGUCUUUGUCAAGACAUGUGUAAGCCUUGAGUAAGGAAUCUAUUUUCAGUUAUAGUCUUUGUCAAAGACUGAGCGGCAUGCUCUUAUUUGCCAUCCCCUAACGCCCUUCUUUAUACAUGCACCACCAACCCAUAUUCUCGGUCCAUUUAACAAUCUUGCUAUAGGAAAUGGUAUAAGUUUCUUUCAGAGGAAGCAAGGGACAGUGUUUUCAGUUAUAGUCCUUGUCUUAGGACUUUCUCAAACUGUACCAUUCAAAUAACUGAAAAAAAAAGUCUUUGGCCUUUAAGACUUGUAAGCCGUGGAUCAUAAAUCUUUAUCUUUGUCAAGACAUGUGUAAGCCGUGGGUAAUAAAUCUUUGUAAGCCAUGGGUAAGGAAUCUGUUUUCAGUUAUAGUCUUUGUCUUAAGACUUUCACAAACUGUACCAUUCAAAUAAUUGAAAACAAAAAAGUCUUUUGUCUUUAAGACUUGUAAGCCGUGAGUAAUAAAUCUGUCUUUCUCAAGACAUGUGUAAGGCGUGGGUAAGGAAUCUGUUUUCAGUUAUAGUCUUUGUCAAAGACUGAGCGGCAUGCUCUUAUUUGCCAUCCCCUUACGCCCUUCUUUAUACAUGCACCACCAACCCAUAUUCUCGGUCCAUUUAAUAAUCUUGCUAUAGGGGAUGGCAUAAAGUUCUUUUAGAGGCAGCAAGGGACAAUGUUUUCAGUUAUAGUCCUUGUCUUAGGACUUUCUCAAACUGUACCAUUCAAAUAACUGAAAACAGAAAAGUCUUUGGUCUUUAAGACUUGUAAGCCGUGAGUAAUAAAUCUUUGUCUUUGUCAAGACAUGUGUACGCCGUGGGUAAAAAUCUUUGUAAGUCGUGGGUAAGGAAUCUGUUUUCAGUUAUAGUCUUUUGUCUUAAGACUGAGCCGCAUGCUCUUAUUUGCCAUCCCCUAACGCCCUUCUCUAUACAUUCACCACCAACCCAUAUUCUCGAUCCAUUAGGGGAUGGCUUAAGUUUCUUUUAGAGGCAGCAAGGGACAAUGUUUUCAGUUAUAGUCCUUGUCUUAGGACUUUCUCAAACUGUACCGUUCAUAUAACUGAAAACAGAAAAAUCUUUGGUCUUUAAGACUUGUAAGCCGUGGGUAAUAAAUCUUUGUCUUUGUCUAAGACAUGUGUAAGCCGAGGGUAAUAAAUCUUUGUAAGCCGUGGGUAAGGAAUCUGUUUUCAGUUAUAGUCUUUUGUCUUAAGACUGAGCCGCAUGCUCUUAUUUGCCAUCCCCUAACGCCCUUCUCUAUACAUGCACCACCAACCCAUAUUCUCGAUCCUUUAGGGGAUGGCAUAAGUUUCUUUUAGAAGCAGCAAGGGACAUUGUAUUCAGUUAUAGUCCUUGUGAUAACCCGUCCUUCGGGAUAAAAUGGUCGAGCAAGGGAAAGUCAGAAUCUGGAGCCAAGCUUUUGGGAGAUUACAUAUUUGGAGUAAUGUUGAGUUUUGAUCACACAAAACUUAACAAGGUUCGGAGAAGACAGAAGAUUGGUCGAGCAUCAACUUGAUGAUCGAACCGCGGGCGGUACGGGCCAACCGAGAAGUUCGAAGUAGGAUGUGGUCGAAGAAUGGAUCGUGAGUGAACCAUGAGACAUAUUAAGCUGCUCUACCUUUCUUAGAAGAGUCUUAGAUUGAUCAGACGAAGAUUUUGGAAGAAUCACAUUUUUGGAAGCACGACGGUUUAGAAGCUCGACGUUUCAGAAACCCGACGUUUCUUAGCCACUAAGUUUUCCGCGAAACUUCACAUCUAUGAUCAGAAUAUUAUUUCAGAGAUAUUAUAAUUUGGAAGCAUGACGGGAGUAAGCAGGACGGGAAGCAAGCACGACGGGAAAACCCGAAGUUGGUCGAAAACCCUAAUUUCGGUUUUUCGAAAUUAUUGGAAGAAGCCGGAGGCUCGGGAAAUAUUUUUAGAGGAUCUCAGUAUUCAUCUGGAGUUUAUUAAAAAUAUUUAGAGAAUCAGAACGGGAGCGGAAAAAUAUUCGGGAUUGAUCGCGGGACGAAAAUUUACCAGAAAGACCGAAAUCGCACAAAUCAACCGGGAAGCUCGAGGUGGCCCUAUCUGAGAGAUCAGGACGUGCUGUCCUUCAUCCAAGCAUCUUAGUGUCUCCGUAGCACGAUAUGUCUCCGCAGGAUGAAGCCUCACAUGCAGCAUGACACCCAAAGCACGACAUGACCUCGUCUUGACACCCAGAGGCCCGUGUGUCGCGAUGCAUGAGCUCCAGCCAUGCUGAAUGACAUCUGGACGUGGUGCUGGCUUCUGGCAUGCAGAGGAGUCAUGCAUGGUGACAUUUGGACGCCCGUGUGUCGCCGCGCAUGCGACCGGAAGCAUGCGGGACGACACACAGGCGAUGGAGUGGCACCAUUUCAAUGGUUGGCCAUAUCUAUAUAAACCCAGCUCCCCCAGCUCGUUUCAUUCAUUCCACACACUCAAACAUCACUCUAAAACUUGGGCUAGAGAGAGAAAGUGAAGUAGAAAAAGGAAGUGAAGGAUUUGGAGCUGUUUUGAAGAAGUUAGAGCAUUUUUAAGAGCCAUUGUUCUACCGAAAGUCCGAGAAGAAGAUCCAGAAGUCCGAGGAGGUUCUGUCCAAGUCCUGAUUCGUCCAUACCAGUCCAUUGAAGACAGAGGCAUUGGUUUUUGGCUAGGCUUUCUCCGAUCAACCAGCUGCAAGAACACUGUGAGUUGGUUUGUUUGAGUUCCACUUGGAACUUAGGAUAGAUCGAGUUGCAUAUAGAGUAAUAAUAUCACACUGAUGCAUGAUAGAGUCCUAGGGUUAUUUUUAUUUAUGAAUUGGACUCAGUUUAGCAUGGGCUAAGCUGAGAUAUAAUGGAAUUAAGACUGAGUUAUAACCUGACUAGGACUAGGAUGAAUGAUGCAUCAACCGGUAUAGUGUGAUAAAUUAUGGCGUAGCUGAAUUGUUAGGAUUGAGAUGCAUGUUUUCCUUUAUUUAUUUAUGGGUAGUUUAGUAAUGGAGUAGACCUGCCUUAGAGAUAUUAGGACUAUUGAAUGCUUGGUUUGGUAGUGAUUGUUGUUGUGCAGGGAUGGUAUUGUUCAGGCGAUCUUAGGCCAUAUAGGCCGAUUUCCUUCCAUGUCGAGUUUAGUACUACCAAUCCUAUGCCAUAUAGGCUGGACUACGAGUACUGGUGUUAGUGUCGUAGACUCCUUAGUGUAUUUAAGUUUGUGGUAGGAGUCUUGGUCUUAUUAGGAUUAGUGUGUUGUAGCCGACAGUAUGAGCGUAACCCGUCCAUACUAGGCUUGUUUAGGGGUGAUUAGUGUUUCCUCAGCCUCGUACCCAGCGGGUUUAAGGAAACCCCUUAUUCGUUGGAUCGGGAAGACUCAGAGAGACGGGAUCAUGGCCUAUGGCUGAGUUAUUACACGACGGUGUAAUGUGGCAGUGACCCGAAGGACUGUGGGCUGUCGCGCGGUGACCCGAAGGACUGUGGGCCGCGGUCGGUUGAAAGUUCCUUCUUCUGGCCUUUGUGGUAGGGAGAUAGGAUAUUGCCGAUGUUGAGGAGGAACACGAGAUCACCAGGGCCCAUGUUAGAGUAUUGAGUUUAGAGUUAGAAUAGUGUGUCGAGUUAGUUUUAUUGUGUCGUCUUGAGGGUGAGGAACCCUCGAGAUAGUGUUAGCACCGAGAUACGGUGUUGAUCGAGUCUUGAUUGUUAGAUUAGGGAUCCGUUGAGUAGAUGGUCGUUUGGCCAUGUCUAUUAUUAGUAUUAUUAGAUUAAGGUCGAGCAUACCUUAAUCGGUGCGGUUUUGGGGAUUAGCCUUAAAGCUUUAUUUUCUGCGCUUAGGCUAGAUUGAUUGUUAUUUUUGGGUUGUCUGAGCUAGCUACUAGGUUUAGGUAUUUAGGUAUCCAGCUCACUGAGUGACCUUCUGUUACUCACCCAACUCUCGUUGUCCUUUUUGCAGGAGUUUAGUUUGUAGGAGAUUAGACGCGUAGGCCACCGGAAUAGAUUUGCAGUGCAUUUGGCUACGGUUUGAUUUUUAUACGAUUUAUGUUUCCGUUGCGUUUUAUCGGAUUUGGGAUCCCUAAAGUAUUGCAAAUAUUCUUAAAAGUCUUGGAUUUAAAUCUUAAAAAAAUUAACGGGUCCAAUAUGAUAUUGGUUUAGUCCGAACCAACACAACGUUAGGUCUUGGUACGGGUUGAAAAGCCUUAAGCCUCGAUCUAACGGAACCGUUAACUCAUGGUACAGGUUGCAAAGCCUUAAGCCUUGAUUUAACGGGACGUGUUAGUGGAUGAACUAGUCUAGGUUGCGGAAUAAAUCUGUGACUCGGACCGGAUCGUCCCUAGCUCGUCACGUAGCGCUUCCGGACCAUGGUGUUGGGUUGGACGGUCAGUCAUGUUCUUGUUUGAUUGUUGGCUGGCCGGUUGGCCUUUCAUCUCCAAUCCUUGGUGUUGGUUGGUCCGUCGGUCAUGUUCUUGUUUGAUUGUUGGCCGGUGGGUCGACCUAUGCCUAGGACGGUUCGGGGGUGUUACAGAGGUGGUAUCAGAGCAUGGUUACGAUUAUGCUCACUGGUUCCCGUGGUUUUUCAAAUGUUUUCAAUGUUUUUCGAGUCAAAAGGAGUCGCCAAUGCACUCUUUAGGAAUCCGGUCGUGUCCAAUCGUUUAGGAGGGGUAGGAGAGAUUUUAUUUUAUUAUUAGCUUGUUGUCUAACCCAUAUAUAUUGCGACAUGAUUCCGCAGGUUGCUGUACUGGUGUGGUAGGGUGGAGAUUUGGAGUUACGGAGGAUUUCGACGUUUCGCCUAGUCCUAUACUUGCCGAUCUUUUUCAGCCGCAUGAGUUUGAUCAGAUCGUACCAGACAUGUUUCCGACACCUAUCAUCAUUUCUGAUGAUGACACCGAGCCUGAUGAUGCGGUUCCGACACCCUUUAUUGUCAUUUCUGACGAUGAGACCAAUGCGGAUGAUCUUGUUCCGCAGAUGCCUACGGUAGCACCACCGAGCCCCAUCACUAUCUUGUCUACGGGUACUACUGGAGAUACGCCGAGUUAUGAUCCUGCUGAGGAUCAGGGCACUUCGCCACCUACUCCAGAUGUGUCGACACCAUCAUAUGGUCCCUUACCUUUGUCUCCGGGAUUACCCGAUCCUACUCUCAGCCCGACGAUUGACAUACAUUAUGAGAUGGGUCUGGAGGGAUUUUACGAUCUGCCGAUGGAGAGUAUUGGUGACAGCCAUGAUGAUCCAUUACUUUACUAUCCAGACAUCAUGAUUCCUGAUGAGCCAGCAAACUAUCAGUCCAUGGAGAGCGUUGGACACCCUGAUGACGACCCAUUCCUUUAUGAUCCAGACGUGAUGAUGAUGGACCAGCCACUUCCUCAGCCGGCGGACUUAUCUUUUUCUCAUACUAUACCUGCGAGUGGAGAGCCUUCCAGCUUUCCACCCAUGGAGCCAUCCACGACCUACUCACCAUUAUCUCAGCCAUUCUAUGACUACGGAGAGCCUUCCAGCUUUCCGACGAUGGAGGUACCCAAGACUGAAUUACCAUUUUACCAGACCACUUAUCAGACCGGAGGGCCAUCUAGCCUUCCAGCGAUGGAUGCAUCUUUUGAUCUUGGAGGAUCUGCUUCUUCUGGUGAUCCUUACGCACCUCAGUCCUAUCGAUGUUUUUGGUGUCAGAGCAGGAUAUGUGGAUCCACACGGAUUCCCAUAUCAUACUUAUCUUGGUAGAUCGGAUCUGUACCCGAGGUGUUUUACUUGUGGAGGCAUAGCACAUUCGACUGGCGUGUGCACGAGCUACGACGAGCCAGCAGCGAUACCCUACCUACACAGUGCGCAACCAGCAGGGGAUUCGUCCGAGUGGGGCUACUGCCCCAACUGCGACAUGUUGCUUUAUAUAUGGCGUUCUUAGACGUGUAGGACCGGGUAAGUAGGGUACAGACUUUUUGUGGUGAUAUAGCGGUGUAUAGACUUUUGUAGUGUUUUGUGACAGCUGAUGUCUUUUGUUGUAUGAUAUAUCAUCAGUAACGAUAAAGGAUGUUUUUCUGUCAAGUAUAUGUAUAUAUUUGAUGGGAGGAUAUGUUUUAUAGUGAAGGUGGUUAUCAUUUGCGUUUUUCUAUUUAGUAAUUACGUAACCAUAUCAUUCAAGUAUGCAUGUUCUUGCAUAUUUGAAUUAUGUGGUUUACAAGAUGAAAAAUAGUGAUCGCUUGGACAUAUGGUUUUACAAAACAUUUACAACUGUUUAAAUAUCACACAAAUCGUUGGUACAGUAGAGUCUUAGUUUUUAGGCCGCAUUUUUUUAGGGCUGGUUAGUGGAACAUAGAAUUGCUAGGUUGUUGGUUAGAAUUGCGGUUAGAUUACCCGGUUAGAAUCGUUAGGUUGCUGGAUAGAUUUGGUAGGUUGCUGGUUAGUUUUGGAUUAGAUUGUUAGGUUAGUUGUUAACUAACUUGCAUGUGAAGUGUUCUUUUGAGUUGCAGCUUGUGUGUUCGUUGAUCGGAACUUUAAGGAAUGGAAACCUUAAAGUGAAAAGAGUUCAAGGCUAAAAACCCAAAAUGAAGAGAGAGAGAUUUAGAGGGACUGGACAGUGGUAUGGACUGGACAAGUAUGAGAAAGACUUCGUUGAGAAAGGACUUCAUCAGUUUUGGGAAAAGAAAGGUUUCAGUGAUCAGAAGCAAAGAUGGUGCGCGUUAUGGCAGAGUAAAUGCAAGAAGACGAUUCAGUAUUCAUCAAGUGAAGAGUUUUGUGGCAACUUUGAGAAGGAGACUCAUGGGAGAGCAGUAGAUACGGUGAAGCAAUAUGAAGAUGAAUUCAGCAUGAGAGUGAAGCGAUAUGGAGAUGAGUUAAGAAUGAGUGAAGCAUGGGAAAUCAAGAAGUGAAGGACGGAUUCAAGACUAAAGGAAUGCUUUGAGAUGUAUCAAGACGGAGUGAGUUCAGAACCAGAAGUUUGGGUGGAGACCAGAGAAACCGAAAGGAGGAAACCAAGGGCAAACCGAUAAAGAAGCACAUCAAGUGAUCAAGACCGCGAGACAAGUGAUCCAAGGAGAAAUUUUCAUCAAGGGGAUGAACAUGUCGUGAAGCUGAGCCAUUGGACAACUAAGAAUGCGAGGACGAAUUCUAUUAAGGGGGGAAGAAUGUGAUAAUCCGCCCUUCGGGAUAAAAUGGUUGAGCAAGGGAAAGUCAGAAUCUGGAGCCAAGCUUUUGGGAGAUUACAUAUUUGGAGUAAUGUUGAGUUUUGAUCACACAAAACUUAACAAGGUUCGGAGAAGACAGAAGAUUGGUCGAGCAUCAACUUGAUGAUCGAACCGCGGGCGGUACGAACCGAGAAGUUCGAAGUAGGAUGUGGUCGAAGAAUGGAUCGUGAGUGAACCAUGAGACAUAUUACGCUGCUCUACCUUUCUUAGAAGAGUCUUAGAUUGAUCAGACGAAGAUUUUGGAAGAAUCACAUUUUUGGAAGCACGACGGUUUAGAAGCUCGACGUUUCUUAGCCACUAAGUUUUCUGUGAAACUUCACAUCUAUCAUCAGAAUAUUAUUUCAGAGAUAUUAUAAUUUGGAAGCAUGACGGGAGUAAGCAGGACGGGAAGCAAGCACGACGGAAAAACCCGAAGUUGGUCGAAAACCCUAAUUUCGGUUUUUCGAAAUUAUUGGAAGAAGCCGGAGGCUCGGGAAAUAUUUUUAGAGGAUCUCAGUAUUUAUCUGGAGUUUAUUAAAAAUAUUUAGAGAAUCAGAACGGGAGCGGAAAAAUAUUCAGGAUUGAUCGCGGGACGAAAAUUCACCAGAAAGACCGAAAUCGCACAAAUCAACCGGGAAGCUCGAGGUGGCCCUAUCUGAGAGAUCAGGACGUGCUGUCCUUCAUCCAAGCAUCUUAGUGUCUCCGUAGCACGACAUGUCUCCGCAGGAUGAAGCCUCACAUGCAGCAUGACACCCAAAGCACGACAUGGCAUCGUCUUGACACCCAGAGGCCCGUGUGUCGCGAUGCAUGAGCUCCAGCCAUGCUGAAUGACAUCUGGACGUGGUGCUGGCUUCUGGCAUGCAGAGGAGUCAUGCAUGGUGACAUUUGGACGCCCGUGUGUCGCCGCGCAUGCGACUGGAAGCAUGCGGGACGACACAAAGGCGAUGGAGUGGCACCAUUUCAAUGGUUGGCCAUAUCUAUAUAAACCCAGCUCCCCCAGCUCGUUUCAUUCAUUCCACACACUCAAACAUCACUCUAAAACUUGGGCUAGAGAGAGAAAGUGAAGUAGAAAAAGGAAGUGAAGGAUUUGGAGUUGUUUUGAAGAAGUUAGAGCAUUUUUAAGAGCCAUUGUUCUACCGAAAGUCCAAGAAGAAGAUCCAGAAGUCCGAGGAGGUUCUGUCCAAGUCCUGAUUCGUCCAUACCAGUCCAUUGAAGACAGAGGCCUUGGGUUUUGGCUAGGCUCUCUCCGAUCAACCAGCUGCAAGAACACUGUGAGUUGGUUUGUUUGAGUUCCACUUGGAACUUAGGAUAGAUCGAGUUGCAUAUAGAGUAGAAAUAUCACACUGAUGCAUGAUAGAGUCCUAGGGUUAUUUUUAUUUAUGAAUUGGACUCAGUUUAGCAUGGGCUAAGCUGAGAUAUAGGCCGUGUUCGUUUGCUGGUCGCUAGCGUCAGCGACCAAGUUCAGCGACCAAACGCUGUUCGUUUACCGGUCGUGAGUUCAGCGACUGAUCUCAGCGACCAAACGCUAGCGAUCAGCGAUUUAAAAUUUUGGACGCUGGAAAUUUCAGCGGUGCGACCAAAAUCGUGCGACUAGAAAUUUUUUUUUUUUUUUUUUUUUGAACACUCGAAAAAAUAAAAAAAAACUUAAAAAGACAAAACUACCCUAAAUAUAUUUACAGAAUCACAAUACAUUGCCAUUAACCCUAAUACAAACUCACGCCAAAAAAAAAAACCAGAAACUUCUCUCUCUCUCCCCGAUCUAUUUCCUGCGGCCAUACUUCUCUUCUCUGCUCAAGCUCUCUUUCUCUCCGAUCUAUUUCCGGCAGCCACAGAGAACCUUCUCUGCUCAAGGUCUCUCUCUCUCUCUCUCUCUCUCUCUCUCUCUCUCUCUGCGUUUUGUGUGAGGAUAAUGGAACCUUUAGAUUAAUUAAGUUGACUGUUGGGUUUUUUGAUUCUUGAUAUGGGUUGCUUUUAGAUUUAAGAUUUUGAUUAUCAAAUCUUUGUUUUUAAUCCGAUUAUCAGACAUGGGUUUGAGUUCCUGUGAAUGUUUUCAGACAUGGGUUUGAGUUCUUUUUGGUAUGUGACGAAGUGUUCUUGCAUUUGCUUUCAAGUAGUUUAUAGUUUGGUCUGAAUAAAGCUUCGAUGUUUGGAACAAGAGUCAAAUUUUGUGUGCUUUUGAUAGAUUGUUGUUUCAGUUUAGUAGUAGUGAUGAAAUAUGUGUCUGCAAGUCUCAUCAUUUAUGUCUGUAUUAUCUUCUCAGGUUGGACAUAAAUCACAACAAGACAAGAUAAGAAGAAUGGCUGAUGAUGUAAGUGUUUUAGGCAGUUCUAGUUUCUUAGAUCUUUUGUGAUAGUUUUUUCUGCUAGUUUAGCUUGUUUGUCUAUUGAUGAGACUUGUUAUUUAGAAAUGGACCGAUGAAGAAGUUAGGUAUUUCUUUGCUCUUUAUGCUGAUGAGAAAAAGAAAGGGAACAGACCAAGGAGUGGCAUGAAUCUAGCUGGAAGAGAGUUCAUCGUAAAUAAGUUUGAAGAGAAAUUUGGUAAGAGAUGGAUAUGGGACAGGUUUAAGAACAAGGUUGAUAUUAGUAGAAAAGCAUAUGUCAAGUUCAAGAAGCUUACCCACAAUAGAACCGGGCUUGUCUAUGAUGCUUUGGGAAGGUUGGAGAUGUCGGAUGCUUGGUGGGAUCAACGCAUUGCGGUAAGUAUCUUUCUCUUAGUCUUCAGUGCUUUAAUAAUGUCAGUAUUAGAGUUCUCUUUCUGCUUAGAGUGAAAAAUAUUAGACAUUGAAUCAGUAUUAGCUUGAAAAAAAUAUUAGACAUUGAAAAAUACUGUAUGUUUCAAAUAUACUAAUUUUUUUCUUCUUAAACAGGAAUGGCAAGGUGCAAGAAAGUAUAAGACCAAAGUGCCUCCAAACAUGGAUGUGUUUGAAGCAGAGUUUGGUGCUGUUACUGUAACUGGAGCAGAAGGAUGGUGUGCUCAGCAAGGAGAAGCUAGCUUAGAUUCUAGAGUAGAUGUAGAGAAGGAUGACGAGUCUGAUUCAGUUGACACUGGGAUGCCAGCACCAAGAGAAGGAACAAGUAGAGCUGGAGGUUCAAAAAGAAAGCGUAAGGAAUUUGAUCAAGAGCCUUAUGUUCUAAGGAAUGCAAUUCUGGCUGAGAAAAAUAAGAUAGCAGAAAAGAUGGUAGAGAUAAUGGCAGAGGAUCGUGUGGUGUUGCAGCAGGAUCGCAAAUUCCGUGUGCACUCUGUGUUGGAGAUACUUAAUGAGCUACCUGGAAUUAUAAAGUGGUCACCAUUUCACAUUGCUGCAGUUAACCAUCUCAAAGCUGUUGAAGAAAACAGAAUGGCUUUUAUGUCUUUCUCUAGUGAUGAUGAUAAGAUUAGCUAUCUUGAAAAUAUGAUUGGAGUUAAGAUAUAUGAAGGAUUGUAGUGUCUGUUUCAGUAUGACUGUUUUAAUAUGACUCAGAUUGUAGUGUUUCUUUUAAGUAUGACUUUUGUUUCAUUUUUUUGGUAUGAAUCAGAUUGUAGUAUUUUAAUGUGAUAGUACCAUUAUUCUCGUGUCUGCCUGCUCAAAUUGGAAGUUGGUUUUUUUUAAUGUGAUAGGAAGUUGGGUUUUUUUUUUCUGUCUCGCAACUUAUAUAUAUAUAUGUGAUUUUAAUGCUUUGCAGAUGGUUAGGUGGUACUUGGAUGAUGAUGAUGAGGAUGAUGAUUAUGAGGAAGAGCAUGAAGUUGAUGUGCUUAAGCCAGAGAGAUUGCUUCAUAGAACAGAUCGAGGUGCUGGAUGGAAUCAUGUUCAGCAGCUUAUGCACGGGUCAGAUCAACAGUGCUAUGAUAUUCUUCGCAUGAAUCAGAGGACAUUUCAAGAUCUGUGUAAGAUGUUAGCAACGAGAUAUGGGUUACAAGAGACGUUGAAUGUCUAUAUUGAAGAAGCGGUUGCAAUGUUCCUUGAAGUGGUGGGUCAAGAUAAGACAGUACGGGUUAUUGCACAAAGAUAUCAACGUUCGUUGGAUACAGUCAAAAGGAAACUUGGUGAGGUUUUGAGUUCUCUCUUGAAAUUUGCUGCAGAUACACUAAAACCAGAAGAUGGUGAGUUCACAAGAGUAUGUCCUGCUUUGAGAAAUGAUGAUCGAUACUGGCCAUUUUUUAAAGACUGUAUUGGAGCAUUGGAUGGAACUCAUAUCUCAGUCCGCCCUCCUAAACGAAAUGCAGAAGCAUACAGGGGCAGAAAACAGGAGCCAACCAUGAAUGUCCUUGCUAUAUGUAACUUUGAUAUGAAGUUCAUAUAUGCUUAUGUGGGUGUGCCGGGUAGAGCCCAUGACACAAAGGUAUUAACUUAUUGUGCGAGGAAUGAGCCUUUUUUUCCACAUCCGCCAAAUGGAAAGUAUUAUUUGGUUGAUGCUGGAUAUCCCACAAGAACAGGGUAUCUUGGUCCGUAUCGUAGAGUUCGGUAUCAUCUCGAUCAGUUCAACAGAGGAGGACCGCCAACGAACACUCGAGAGGUGUUCAACCGGAGACAUUCAAGCUUGCGAUCAGUGAUUGAGCGGACAUUUGGAGUGUGGAAAGCAAAAUGGAGAAUUCUUGACCGUAGGCAUCCAAAAUAUGGUUUGAUCAAAUGGAUAAAGCUAGUGACGGCAACGAUGGCUCUACACAACUUCAUACGUGAUUCACAUCGAGAAGAUAAUGAUUUUGUGCAUUGGCAGAGAAGAGAAGAAUAUCAUACUCAUGGUGAUAAUGAUGAAGAAGAAAGAGAUGAAGAGGAAGAUGAAGAAGAAGAAGAAGAAGAUGGUGAUGGUCAUGGUGGACAUAUUCCAUAUGAGCCGACUGGUGAUAGAGCCAUGGAAGGUUUACGUGAUCAUAUUGGUAAUGAGUUGAGUAGAGGAUAUCGAUUACCUUAUUAGUUUAUUUGAUUUGAAUUUGUACUGAUUAUUAUUAUAAGUUACUCGUAUGAUCACUCAUAAACAAAAGUGAACUUGUACAAGGAAAAAUAUAAGAAAUUGAAACGAUUAAACAUAUUGCAUCCAUGGUGUGAUUUAUUACACUUUACAGUUUUAAUGAUUUAGCCACGUUUUUGACGAAACCUAAGUACACAAGAGCAAAUGUAUGUCAAAAGUAAAUAUUUGGUCGCCAGCGAUACAGAAACGAACAGCAUAGCGACAACCGCUGCGAUCAAUCGCGCGACAUAGAAACGAACAGCAUAGCGACAACCGCUGCGAUCAAUCGCGCGACCUUCAAACGAACAACUAUCAGCGACAUCAUGUCGCAGUCGCUGGUCGCUGACUCUGGUCGCUGACGCUGGCGACCACGAAACGAACAGGGCCAUAAUGGAAUUAAGACUGAGUUAUAACCUGACUAGGACUAGGAUGAAUGAUGCAUUAACCGGUAUAGUGUGAUAAAUUAUGGCGUAGCUGAAUUGUUAGGAUUGAGAUGCAUGUUUUCCUUUAUUUAUUUAUGGGUAGUUUAGUAAUGGAGUAGACCUGCCUUAGAGAUAUUAGGACUAUUGAAUGCUUGGUUUGGUAGUGAUUGUUGUUGUGCAGGGAUGGUAUUGUUCAGGAGAUCUUAGGCCAUAUAGGCCGAUUUCCGUCCAUGUCGAGUUUAGUACUACGAAUCCUAUGCCAUAUAGGCUGGACUACGAGUACUGGUGUUAGUGUCGUAGACUCCUUAGUGUAUUUAAGUUUGUGGUAGGAGUCUUGGUCUUAUUAGGAUUAGUGUGUUGUUGCCGAUAGUAUGAGCAUAACCCGUCCAUACUAGGCUUGUUUAAGGGUGAUUAGUGUUUCCUCAGCCUCGUACCCAGCGGGUUUAAGGAAAUCCCUUCUUCGUUGGAUCGGGAAGACUCAGAGAGACAGGAUCAUGGUCUAUGGCUGAAUUAUUACACGACGGUGUAAUGUGGCAGUGACCCGAAGGACUGUGGGCUGUCGCGCGGUGACCCGAAGGACUGUGGGCCGCAGUCGGUUGAAAGUUCCUUCUUCUGGCCUUUGUGGUAGGGAGAUAGGAUAUUGCCGAUGUUGAGGAGGAACACGAGAUCACCAGGGCCCAUGUUAGAGUAUUGAGUCUAGAGUUAGAAUAGUGUGUCGAGUUAGUUUUAUUGUGUCGUCUUGAGGGUGAGGAACCCUCGAGAUAGUGUUAGCACCGAGAUACGGUGUUGAUCAAGUCUUGAUUGUUAGAUUAGGGAUCCGUUGAGUAGAUGGUCGUUUGGCCAUGUCUAUUAUUAGUAUUAUUAGAUUAAGGUCGAGCAUACCUUAAUCGGUGCGGUUUUGGGGAUUAGCCUUAAAGCUAUUUUCUGCGCUUAGGCUAGAUUGAUUGUUAUUUUUGGGUUGUCUGAGCUAGCUACUAGGUUUAGG